This is a long non-coding RNA of Alosa sapidissima (American shad), 406 nucleotides long. RefSeq lists it as uncharacterized. NCBI's taxonomy places the organism in Eukaryota, Metazoa, Chordata, Actinopteri, Clupeiformes, Clupeidae. The transcript has 3 exons. The record is from RefSeq and is a predicted model, not a curated record.
UAUUCAAUCAUGUUUCGGGGUGGGCUCUGCUUUGAAUGUCGACGUCACCCAACGUAUCAGUUGACGUUAUCAACGUUAUCAUAGUGAUAUGCGCGGGAGAUUGACUUGUUCUACCUGGGCUCACUCCUAACGUUCAUCGUUGAAAGCUUCCAUAGGCUACUGUUUAUUCUCCAGAUCAUACUGGAAAGCGUUUUUCUGUCCCUCCCAAAGGCCCUCAAGAACAACCCCCUUACCAGCACUACAAAUCAGAGGAGGCUGAACGGUCUUUAGGGAAAUGGUUUACUGGGGCAAGGGACAGGGGAGGGCUGAGGGCAGCCAGAGUGGCGAAGUGAUUUAAUUCAAUUCAAUUUAGGUAUUGCUGUUUGUAACCAGUUCUUGUUGUUGUUCUCUGUGUUGAUGUUGAUGU